RNAcentral lists this long non-coding RNA (349 nucleotides) under Homo sapiens (human). RNAcentral describes it as "non-protein coding LINC01736:14". Lineage: Eukaryota; Metazoa; Chordata; Mammalia; Primates; Hominidae. The record is from RNAcentral.
CCUGUCUUGGGAUCUCAAGGGGCUAGAAUGAGCUGCUAUUCCAAGGGAGAGAAGAAAGCAACCCCAGGAAGCCUGGCCCCGAAGACUGUGAGGUAUGGUGGGGCCUUGCUGUGCUCUGGACUGGACAAGAGGCACCCUGGGCUCUGGACACAGCCAGAUCUUCAGCCAAUUGCAUCUCCGGCCCAGGGCAGGCCCUUUAUCUUAUAGCCCAGUGGUGCCUCUCUCCUCACCUAGGAAACAAAGCCAACAGGAUCUGCACCACCUCUGCCUCCCGGACAUUGGAAGGACUAAAUAAGAUCAGUGGCUGGUGUCCUGUCUCCAUCCUGCCUGGGAUAACACUGAAAAUCGC